RNAcentral lists this ribosomal RNA (492 nucleotides) under uncultured bacterium. Its description in RNAcentral is "partial 16S ribosomal RNA". It matches the Rfam family "Bacterial small subunit ribosomal RNA", at positions 28 to 507 of the family's 1533-position model. The record is from RNAcentral.
GAUGAACGCUCGCUACAGGCUUAACACAUGCAAGUCGAGGGGAAACGCCAUCGAAAGCUUGCUUUUGAUGGGCGUCGACCGGCGCACGGGUGAGUAACGCGUAUCCAACCUGCCCAUCACUUGGGAAUAACCUUGCGAAAGUAAGACUAAUACCCAAUGACAUCCCACGAAGACAUCUGAAUGGGAUUAAAGAUUUAUCGGUGAUGGAUGGGGAUGCGUCUGAUUAGCUUGUUGGCGGGGUAACGGCCCACCAAGGCAACGAUCAGUAGGGGUUCUGAGAGGAAGGUCCCCCACAUUGGAACUGAGACACGGUCCAAACUCCUACGGGAGGCAGCAGUGAGGAAGAUUGGUCAAUGGGCGAGAGCCUGAACCAGCCAAGUAGCGUGCAGGAUGACGGCCCUAUGGGUUGUAAACUGCUUUUAUAAGGGAAUAAAGUGGGUCUCGUGAGACUUUUUGCAUGUACCUUAUGAAUAAGGACCGGCUAAUUCCGUG